Molecule: ribosomal RNA, 519 nt
Filed under: Paenibacillus alvei
Lineage: Bacteria; Bacillati; Bacillota; Bacilli; Caryophanales; Paenibacillaceae
Description: bacterial SSU rRNA
Rfam family: Bacterial small subunit ribosomal RNA
Source: RNAcentral
GGUAAGAACGCUGGCGGCGUGCCUAAUACAUGCAAGUCGAGCGGACUUGAUGGAGUGCUUGCACUCCUGAUGGUUAGCGGCGGACGGGUGAGUAACACGUAGGUAACCUGCCCAUAAGACUGGGAUAACCCACGGAAACGUGAGCUAAUACCGGAUAGGCAUUUUCCUCGCAUGAGGGAGAUGAGAAAGGCGGAGCAAUCUGCCACUUAUGGAUGGACCUGCGGCGCAUUAGCUAGUUGGUAAGGUAACGGCUUACCAAGGCGACGAUGCGUAGCCGACCUGAGAGGGUGAUCGGCCACACUGGGACUGAGACACGGCCCAGACUCCUACGGGAGGCAGCAGUAGGGAAUCUUCCGCAAUGGACGAAAGUCUGACGGAGCAACGCCGCGUGAGUGAUGAAGGUUUUCGGAUCGUAAAGCUCUGUUGCCAGGGAAGAACGCCUAGGAGAGUAACUGCUCUUAGGGUGACGGUACCUGAGAAGAAAGCCCCGGCUAACUACGUGCCAGCCCGCCGCAGUAA